UACAGAGGUCCCAAGCGUUGUUCGGAUUCAUUGGGCGUAAAGGGUGCGUAGGUGGCGGGGUAAGUCGGAUGUGAAAUCUCGGGGCUCAACCUCGAGACUGCAUUCGAUACUGCCUUGCUAGAGUACUGGAGAGGAGAUCGGAAUUUACGGUGUAGCAGUGAAAUGCGUAGAUAUCGGAAGGAAGACCAGUGGCGAAGGCGGCUCUCUGGACAGGUACUGACGCUGAGGCGCGAAGGCGUGGGGAGCAAACGGG
This 253-nucleotide ribosomal RNA is filed under the name uncultured bacterium. RNAcentral's name for it is "partial 16S ribosomal RNA". It matches the Rfam family "Bacterial small subunit ribosomal RNA", at positions 524 to 776 of the family's 1533-position model. The record is from RNAcentral.